RNAcentral lists this ribosomal RNA (380 nucleotides) under uncultured eukaryote. Its description in RNAcentral is "partial 18S ribosomal RNA". It matches the Rfam family "Eukaryotic small subunit ribosomal RNA", at positions 592 to 976 of the family's 1831-position model. The record is from RNAcentral.
CAAUAGCGUAUAUUAAAGUUGUUGCAGUUAAAAAGCUCGUAGUUGGAUUUGUGGCGUACGGUGUGUUCCGGGCACUUGUUGUCUGAGUAACCUGCUGUUGCCAUCCUUGGGUGGAACCUGUGUGGCAUUAGGUUGUCGUGCAGGGGAUGCCCAUCAUUUACUGUGAAAAAAUUAGAGUGUUCAAAGCAGGCUUAUGCCGUUGAAUAUAUUGGCAUGGAAUAAUGAGAUAGGACUUUUUUGCUAUUUUGUUGGUUUGCGCAAGAAGGUAAUGAUUAAUAGGGACAGUUGGGGGUAUUCGUAUUCCAUUGUCAGAGGUGAAAUUCUUGGAUUUUUGGAAGACGAACUACUGCGAAAGCAUUUACCAAGGAUGUUUUCAUUAA